Molecule: ribosomal RNA, 161 nt
Filed under: uncultured bacterium
Lineage: Bacteria
Description: partial 16S ribosomal RNA
Rfam family: Bacterial small subunit ribosomal RNA
Source: RNAcentral
UAAUGGCAGGUCAGCAUACUGCCGUGAAUACGUUCCCGGGCCUUGUACACACCGCCCGUCACACCAUGAGAGUUGGGAAUACCCGAAGCCUGUGAGCUAACGUUAAGAGGCAGCAGUCGAAGGUAGAAUCAAUGAUUGGGGUGAAGUCGUAACAAGGUACC